Molecule: ribosomal RNA, 247 nt
Filed under: uncultured bacterium
Lineage: Bacteria
Description: partial 16S ribosomal RNA
Rfam family: Bacterial small subunit ribosomal RNA
Source: RNAcentral
AUACGGGGGGUGCAAGCGUUGUUCGGAAUUAUUGGGCGUAAAGCGCGUGUAGGCGGUUUGAUUAGUCUGAUGUGAAAGCCCUGGGCUCAACCCAGGAAGUGCAUUGGAAACUGGCAGACUUGAAUACGGGAGAGGGUAGUGGAAUUCCUGGUGUAGGAGUGAAAUCCGUAGAUAUCAGGAGGAACACCGGUGGCGAAGGCGGCUACCUGGACCGAUAUUGACGCUGAGACGCGAAAGCGUGGGUAGC